AAGUCGUAACAAGGUCUCCGUAGGUGAACCUGCGGAGGGAUCAUUCACAUGAUUACUUUAUAAAAACAAACUGUGAACUUUAUUAUUUACCAUUCGUGUUGUUUUUACUUUCCAAUUUAUUGGUUAGUCAUUCUCAACACUGUCAUUCGAUCGAACAUAAAGAUAGUUGGCUUGUAUUGUUUACAAUACUUUCUCAGCUUUGAUUUCUGAUGUAACUAAACACUACACCAUGAUAAUCAACCAAUCAAUAGAAUUAACAACUCUAUGCCCUGGAUAUCUUGGUUCUC
Molecule: unclassified non-coding RNA, 287 nt
Filed under: fungal sp.
Lineage: Eukaryota; Fungi
Description: partial internal transcribed spacer region
Rfam family: Eukaryotic small subunit ribosomal RNA (bases 1-46)
Source: RNAcentral